RNAcentral lists this ribosomal RNA (305 nucleotides) under uncultured bacterium. RNAcentral describes it as "bacterial SSU rRNA". It matches the Rfam family "Bacterial small subunit ribosomal RNA", at positions 334 to 637 of the family's 1533-position model. The record is from RNAcentral.
GUGUCCUACGGGGGGCAGCAGUGGGGGAUAUUGGACAAUGGGGGGAACCCUGAUCCAGCGACGCCGCGUGAGGGAUGACGGCCCUACGGGUUGUAAACCUCUUUUGUCGGGGAGCAAGACCCGCCACGAGUGGCGGAGCGAGAGUACCCGAAGAAAAAGCAUCGGCUAACUCCGUGCCAGCAGCCGCGGUAAUACGGAGGAUGCGAGCGUUAUCCGGAUUUAUUGGGUUUAAAGGGUGCGCAGGCGGACCAUCAAGUCAGCGGUAAAAUCGUGGGGCCCAACCCCAUCCCGCCGUUGAAACUGGG